Non-coding RNA from Chiloscyllium plagiosum (whitespotted bambooshark), 5518 nucleotides. The record is from RefSeq and is a predicted model, not a curated record. NCBI's taxonomy places the organism in Eukaryota, Metazoa, Chordata, Chondrichthyes, Orectolobiformes, Hemiscylliidae.
CUCCUCCCUUCUGGCUAUGACGCUGACGGGAGCGCUACAAACUGCAGGGUGUCCCGGGAGGUGAUGCGAUCCGUUUGUGGGUGUGAUAUCCUAGGGAUGAGCUGCUGCAGCACAACAUAGAGACAGAGGGUGGUUGGUAGGGGAAGGGGGCAACCUGGCGAGGGCUGCAAAUACAUCUGCUUGCUGCCCUUACAGCGCCCGGCGCCCAGAGGAAGAGACAGCCUUGAAACAGCAAGGAUACAUUUGGUAACAUUGAGAAACAAUUAAACCACAACCAUUGUUUCCAUUGGCCCCGCUAACAGCUGAUCAGCGGUGACAAACUCAGCUGUAAUCGCACACCCCAAGAAAAGACAGGACUGAGCGUUAAACCUAAGACAAGGCUGUUAAAGCCGAGGAGCUGUGGAUUGGAAAGGAGAAUACCGAGGAAAGGAGUGGGUGUAAGAUUCCGAAUCCAACAUGGGCCACCCUCCGCUGGAGUUCAGUGAUUGCUCCCUGGACAGUCCGGAUUUCAGGGAGCGGCUCAAAUCUUACGAGCAGGAGCUGGAGAGGACGAACAAAUUCAUCAAGGAAGUCAUCAGGGAUGGCACCUCGCUCAUCAACGCCAUCAAAAAUUACUCUUCAGCUGUGGUGAAGUUUUCACAGAGCCUGAAUGUAUUUCAGUUUGAAUUCAUUGGAGAUACAUUGACUGACGAUGAAAUCAACAUUGCUGAAUCUUUCAAGGAAUUUGCAGGGUUGCUGCAGGAAGUAGAAGAUGAGAGGGUGAUGAUGAUUCAAAAUUCCAGUAGCAUGCUCAUUAAACCCUUGGAAGUUUUUAAGAAAGAUCACAUUGGAGUUGCAAAGGAAAAAAAGAAAAAAUUUGAAAAAGAAAGUGAGAAGUUCUACUCUGCACUUGACCGACACCUGGGUCUUUCCUCAAAGAAGAAGGAAUCCCAGCUUCUGGAGGCGGAUGUGCAGGUUGAUAAAGAGAGGCAGAACUUCUACGAGGCGUCUCUGGAGUACGUGUACAAAAUUCAGGAGGUUCAUGAGAGGAAGAAGUUUGAAGUGGUUGAGCCAGUGUUGGCGUUCCUACAUGGGCUGCUCACAUUCCAUCAUCUGACCUUUGAACUGACUCAGGAUUUCAUGCCUUAUAAACAGCAGCUUCAAUUAAGCUUGCAACACACGAGGAACCACUUCAUGGGCACUCGAGAGGAGAUGGAGGACCUCAUGAAAAGAAUGAAAGAGGCUCCGCAAAAUUGCAAGCUCCCGGGUCAGCCCACCAUUGAAGGCUACCUCUACUCUCAGGAGAAACGGCCUCUGGGAUUCUCCUGGGUGAAAAACUACUGCAAAUAUGUGAAAGACACCAAAAUUCUAACCAUGAUCCCGUGUGAUCCGAAACCUGGGGCGAAGCAGGAAUUUAAGCUGAAAUCCUGCGUUAGGAGGAAAUCUGAAUCCAUCGACAAGCGAUUCUGCUUUGAUAUAGAGAUGUUUGAAAGGCAAGGCCCUGUCACACUCCAAGCUCUCUCCGAAGCCAACCGAAGUUUGUGGAUUGAAGCGAUGGAUGGCAAAGAGCCAAUCUACAUCACACCCAAUGCGAAACCAGAGCAAAUGCAACUGAAUGAUCUGGGCUUAAAGUUUGUGAAGAAAUGUAUUAAUGCGGUGGAGACCAAAGGAAUCACCGCAGAGGGGGUUUACAGAACUGUUGGCAGCAACCUCCAAGUACAGAAGCUACUAACUCAGUAUUUUGAUCCAAAUCAUCCUGGUGAUGUUGAUCUCCAGAGCUCUGAGUGGGAAAUAAAAACAAUCACCAGUGCACUGAAGCACUACCUCAGGAAUCUUGAAGAGCCAGUGAUGACUUACAAGCUCCAUAGAGAACUUGUCUCUGCCUCCAAAUCUGACAACCUGGAUUACAGACUUGGUGCCAUUCACUCCUUGGUGUAUAAACUACCAGAGAAAAACCGGGAAAUGCUGGAACUUAUAAUUAAACAUCUCAUGAAUGUUUGUAGCCAGAAUAAGAAGAACUUGAUGACUGCUUUCAACAUGGGGGUGAUCUUUGGACCGACAUUAAUGAGAGCACAAGAAGAUACAGUUGCGGCCAUGAUAAACAUCAAGUUUCAGAACAUUGUUGUGGAAAUCUUGAUUGAGCAUUAUGAAAAGAUUUUUAAGUUCCCACCAGAGGAGAAUGCGGCUCCCCCAGUACCACCCCCCAGAGCCGCACCCAGGAAGCGGCAGCCAAUCACAAUCUCCAAACGUGCUGCCCGCCCUCGGACUAACCUCGACUCUUCCUCUUUCAAGGAUAUGGAAGACUAUGUGGAAGAAGAAAACGAUGAUGGCAGUGGCACCAAUAGUCCAGAUACGGGUGGCGUGACCUCCCAAUCAAGCCCUAUACCUCUGCAGCGAAAUACUAGACCAAGUUUGGGCAGCCAGAAGGUGGCAGAAACCGAAUCUCCUCUUCGGCAGGCCACAGGUAACCAGAAUUGGCGGCCAUUCUCGGAGGCGGAAGUAGGGAAACCCGCACUGAAAAUGAAAGAUGGAGGUUUGAAGCCAGCUCCGAAGUCUGUAAAUGGGGUGCCACAAACUGAUCAGACCGCUGCCAAUGUCUCUCGAGUAUCAUCCUUUCGCACAAAGCUUUCCACCAAGAUGUUUUACACUGAAGAUGGUGAUUAUAGUAAUGUUAAUGUACAGCGAGCUCACCAGGAGAAGACUUCCUCUGGCCUGCAGCGACCUCCCAUGAGACCACCAGAUCCUCCGUGUCGAGAUAAAGUUGCUCCACUGCUGAAAGCAGAGCAGUCCACUAGCACGGAAGAUACUUCAUCUUCUGUGGUUGCUUCCAGAGCCAAGUUUUUCGAAAAUGCUGCUAGAAAAACAGGCGGUGUGAAUGCUUCUCCACCACGAUCUGCCCCUGUAGCACACACCAUUACUGCAAAAGAUGAGAGCCCAAGCAACAUGCACUCAUUCAGUCGAUCAUAGCCAUGGUUUCUCACUUCUAUAGAGAUAAUGUUUUGUUGCAGCGGUGGACCAAGGAUGAAUGAGGAAAAGUUUACACAUAGACUGGUGAAUCUCUGAUGAGUGCAAGACUAUGAUCACAGUACUCUCUCAAAUUGUUAACAGAAUUCUUGAGGAAAACCUGGCUGGUUUCAGGGAAGCUUGCUGCAUCAGAACUGGAACAAAUACUUCUGUGAAUUAACUUGCACUUAUCAAGAUCUCAUUGAGAGCACCAAAGAUUCUCCAGAUUAUCCAAAUGGAUUCUAACUAGGGAAUUUUCCAUUCCAACAACGUCUGGAGCUGUGUAUUAGAUGACUGCCAAUGGGUCGUCGUAGUGGUCUUGGGCUUAUUUUUCUUGAAUUUUUAAAAUCGGUUCUGGUGUCUUUUAUUAUGUACCUAUUUGUUGGAACAAAAAAGUAACUCCAGUUUGUGUGAGGGCAGCUACAUAUUUUAAAACUUUUAAAAUACUGCUGGAAAUCUGCACAAGCUUCAUUAAAUGUGCAAUGUACUUUACAACAAAAGAACACACACAGCUUGUGGACUAGCUCGUGGAAGAUUUUGCUUGACUAUCACUCUAAGUAGGUUAAAUGUUUAAAAAAAAGGUGGCUGGUCCAUACAUUUUAGAAAAUGUGUAAAUUGUGAUUCAACAUGCAAAAUGUAAAAGGUUGAUGGUAUUAUCAGUGAAAGUAGCUUAUACUCUGAGGGCUGGGUAGGUGGCAAGAGAUUCUUUUUGGAACAAAACCUUGUUUUUGUUUGGAAUAUGUGCUCUGUGACACAAGUUGCUGGAGAAAUUUACUGUGAUGUGCUGCCCUGGUUGUAAACUGGGACAUGGUGACAUUGGAAUCCCACUUUUGGGAGCUGUUUCCCAGCUCCUCCCCACAUUUUGAUUGAUAGAAUGAUUUACAUUAUAAUUGAGAGGAAAUAAACACAGAAAUGGACAAAAAAAAUUCAACACACAAAUAGCUAUGGACAACAAGCCCAUCCAUUAUACGUUAAUAACAUUAAUCCCUUUAAUAACGACUUUAUUUUGGAAAGAUUAAAAUAUUUCUAUUGAAAUUAGGAUUGAGGGAAUGUGAUACAGUGGGGCAAACACUGUACUUUCACCUCAUUCUUUGGUUUGGAUCUAGUCCCUAUUAACGGAAUGAAUGGCUAUAUCGCAAAGGGUUCCAGGAAGUGGGAGCCUCAGCAAUACUUGAGAAUUAGUUUUUCAUCUUGACACCAACUACCAAUGCAGUCGAAAUGAUUUGAAAAUGGCAAUGUAGUUGUAUGGCAAUGUAGUUAUAAUCUUCAAAGUCUGAAGAAGAGACGUGGUUUGGGGAGAUCAAAGGAGCUUUUUAACUGUGUAAACAUCUGAGCUUUGUCCAACAUCAGAGUGCUUAUUGGGGAUCAGCAUUGGGAAGAUGUUCCAUUCUCCACCCUGGUUAACAUCCACCUGGCUUCAUGUAACACCCUGGCAGAUGGUUUUUGAAAAUGGAAUUUCAGAAGGAAGAUUCCAAUUGGUGACUGUAAUUAAAGGCAGCUGUUAUAUAGAGUUUCCUUGUUUAGAAAUUGGUAGCAUUUCAACGAACAUAAUGAGUGCAAAUUACUGAUUUCCAAGAGAUAACUGGACUGUGAAUCUUAGUUCAUUUGUACAUUAAUGUAUGAUUAAAUUAUGAGGCAUUUAACAUUCCUGGUAAAAUAGGCACACAUGUUGCUCCUUUACUAAUUUAAGAUUACUGAUAAAUCAUUUUCAUUUCGCACUCCAUAUUUGAAAAUGUUUUAUUUUUGUGUAAGUGAAGUCCCAUGGGCUUAAUUCAAGUUUCCAAAUGAAGAAGACUAGCUGUUCCUGUUUAGUCAUUGAACCACUGAGUUAAGAAGUGGGAGUGAACUGAAAAUUGAGUGACCGCAUAGUGGUCUUUGGUAAAACAGCUCUGCAGUUGCAGAAUGAGGUACCUAAUGAGUGAGAAUUUUUAUUGGAAGGCCACGUUUAUACUCAAUAAGGUAUACAGUCAGUGGCAUCAAGGCAGAUUGAAAGGCUGAGAAUUUGAGAUUUGUGUGGCUUGAAUCCAAAUAUUUUCUGAAGCUUAAUAUUUAAUGGCGGGACCCAAACUGAUACUGCACAUAGAAUGGUUUGUAAUGCUUUUUCCUCACAGUCAUAUGCGAUGUUGUGAAAGCCACUAAAUUGUACUCUUGAAAUGAAAUGAUUAACAAGUUCUGAGGAUGCCCUUGUUCUUCAUGUUAUGAGGAGCAAUCCUAGCAGUCCUAGUACUGCUGAUGGAGAAUGUCACAGCCCCUGUCAUUCACAUCUAUUGAAUAAUCACUUGAAUUAUUUCUUUUUCUGGGAGGGUAGAUAAUGAAUUAAUAUUUUAGCUGAGCACAAUUUUUAAUUGCUGUUUUGUCUUCUAAAGUGUGCAUCAAAAGUUGUAACAAUCAUCGGUGAGACACAUGUUUUUUAUUUCCUUUGUUGUUUUCAAAUCUUGGUAUUCUGCAGAGGAAACUUGCAAAUGGGAUUAACGUGGAAGCAUUACUUCAAACCUACUCUUCAAGUCAAUAAAAUAAAUAUUUGCCUUUGCCUCAA